GCGCCCUUAGCUCAGCCGGAUAGAGCAGUGGACUUCUAAUCCACCGGUCGGGGGUUCGAAUCCCUCAGGGCGCGC
This 75-nucleotide transfer RNA is filed under the name Herbidospora sp. NBRC 101105. RNAcentral describes it as "tRNA-Arg". It matches the Rfam family "tRNA". From Rfam's summary of the family: Transfer RNA (tRNA) molecules are approximately 80 nucleotides in length. Their secondary structure includes four short double-helical elements and three loops (D, anti-codon, and T loops). Further hydrogen bonds mediate the characteristic L-shaped molecular structure. tRNAs have two regions of fundamental functional importance: the anti-codon, which is responsible for specific mRNA codon recognition, and the 3' end, to which the tRNAs corresponding amino acid is attached (by aminoacyl-tRNA synthetases). tRNAs cope with the degeneracy of the genetic code in two manners: having more than one tRNA (with a specific anti-codon) for a particular amino acid; and 'wobble' base-pairing, i.e. permitting non-standard base-pairing at the 3rd anti-codon position. Lineage: Bacteria; Bacillati; Actinomycetota; Actinomycetes; Streptosporangiales; Streptosporangiaceae. The record is from RNAcentral.